RNAcentral lists this ribosomal RNA (264 nucleotides) under uncultured bacterium. RNAcentral's name for it is "partial small subunit ribosomal RNA". It matches the Rfam family "Bacterial small subunit ribosomal RNA", at positions 26 to 290 of the family's 1533-position model. The record is from RNAcentral.
AGGACGAACGCUGGCGGCGUGCUUAACACAUGCAAGUCGAGCGGAAAGGCCCUUUCGGGGGUACUCGAGCGGCGAACGGGUGAGUAACACGUGAGUAACCUGCCUUUGGCUUUGGGAUAACCCUCGGAAACGGGGGCUAAUACCGGAUAUUCACUUUGGCCGGCAUCGGUUGGGGUGGAAAGUUUUUUUCGGCCAGGGAUGGGCUCGCGGCCUAUCAGCUUGUUGGUGGGGUAAUGGCCUACCAAGGCGACGACGGGUAGCCGG